ACCGGGUGGCAUGAACGAAUUUUCCCUUUUUCUUCGCGGCAAACCGUGGGGAAAAAAUGCGUUUGGUGGCAAGAGAAAGCGAGAGUGGGGUUUGGUCGUGUGUGCCGCCGCAAGCAAUGGCGAUGUCAUCGGAGCAAGAUUACAAGCCAACGGAGACGAGGUGUCCCAAGCAGCCGCCGCCGCCGCCGCCGAUCCCGGUGGCAGAUUCACCGGUGGGUUUAGGGCCAUCUCACGGGUCCCGGUGCCGGCCGGCGCCUCCCCUGCAGCAUCAGCUACCCGACCUUGGCCGCCGCCGCCGCCCUCUUCCCGCCCACGCCGCCACUAGCUCCGCCCAGCUCCAUCUCCAAGGGCCGCGGCCGACGGUAAUAGCGAAGAAGGAGCCCGUCACCGGUAACAAUGGGACUCGAGCGGGGCUGGCAUCCGGUCGGUCUCAGGCUCCUGCUUCCCGGAGCUGCGCUAUGGCGGCCAUCGCCAAGAAUCAGCGGCCUCCCCUUGCCGGCGCGGAUGGCAGGCCCAAUCUGUUUGAGGAAUUCCGCUACAUUCCUCUUACCAAGGGGAAGGCACAAGAUCUGGUCAUGGCUGCUUGCAGUGUACAGCAGCAGCGGCACGGGAAGGCCAACACUAACUGGAAACCGCCUCGCGAUCGGCCUGCCGAAUCCUGCCUUCUCAAUCUUUGCCCUACAGUCCGAAGCACUGUGGCCAUGAAGACAACCAUUAAGCAGCAGGAGCAGCAGCAGAAGCAGAAGCAGGAAGGAAGCUCUUGUUGUCACAGCCGAACCACCACACAUUGUUGUGCAACCCCUGCGUCCUGUCCAGAUGGCAAGUUCUUCCAUGGUUGUUGUGUUCAUUCAGUCGGCGUCACUGCAGUCAGGGGGAAGAGGAAGGAAGAAUCAAGCUCUCAAGUGUCCACUCCCCUCUCUUGCGCUGAUAAUUCACAUAGCCCUUUUGACAAGUUCCGAUACAGCCCCUUCGCGGAGCGGAAAGAUCAGGAUCUGUCUGCUACUGCUACUUCCAAUUUAUGGGGGGCAUCCUCACAGUCGCUGGCACGCUGUCCUUGUGUUGGUGGUCUCAAAGUGGGGAGGAAGAGUGUGCAGGCUACCUCUCAAGAAGGCAGGCAACAUCAGUGUGCAGAUAAGAGAAGUAAGAGGCAACAUCAGUGUGCAGAUAAGAGAAGUAAGACUGCGACAGUCUCUGCAGCCAGCAAGCCCAAGAACAAGAAAUCAGUCUCUCAGCGGAAGCCUAAUAAGAAAUCAUCUGCAGUGCUCACUGCUGCUGAGAAACGGUUGGAUAUGUACCGCCGCCUGCCACCUGAUCAACUGGUGGCUCCACGCCGCUACACACCUUACAAUCUCCUCCAGGAGCGCUAUGCUCCUGAUCCUUGGAAGGUCAUCGUCAUAUGUAUGCUGCUAAACCGCACGAAAGGCAAAAUGUACAGAUCAAAGAGUUAAUAGAGGGGUUCUUUGCUCGGUAUCCUGAUGCACAAACUGCUUGCAAUGCUAAUUUAGAAGGGAUGGUGGAGUACCUGAGGCCCACGGGCUUACAGCUUGAAAAAGCAGUGAGAAUUCAAAAAUUCUCUUCUUCGUACCUCAGCUCAGAUUGGACUUACGUUACCGAGCUCCAUGGUGUUGGCAAGUAUGCAGCAGAUGCAUAUGCAAUCUUUUGCGCGGGUAGGGUGAUGGAGGUUGAACCUGAAGAUCACAAGUUAGUAGACUACUGGAAGUAUGUCUGUAAUAUCGGUGAACCUUGGGAGGAUGAAGACUCUUGUUUUGCAAUUUGAGUGGCCCAUUCUGAUGAUCGAUUCACACAAGAAGGUUGCCACCCAAGAGCAUGUUCAGGUCUGGGGACCAUGUACUGUUGAGAUUCUACCCUGCACUGAUGAGCAUCCCCUUUUGAGUUAAUUAUAUUUAGUUUUGGAACAACACCUGUGGUUAAUAUUGUGAGCAAGUGGUACUAAAGCUAAUUUAAUAGGAACUAAUUAUCUAAGAUUAUGUUAAGAAGUAACAAUCUCUCCUAAUGACGCUCAGUAAAGAUGUUUAUACAUAUUUUGGGCUUUAAGCUGUUGAGGUCUUAAUCCAAAUUUUCAUCCAGAUGUU
This is an RNA transcript of Phragmites australis (common reed), 2093 nucleotides long. RefSeq lists it as uncharacterized. Lineage: Eukaryota; Viridiplantae; Streptophyta; Magnoliopsida; Poales; Poaceae. The transcript is spliced from 4 exons. The record is from RefSeq and is a predicted model, not a curated record.